AUCAAAAGAGGUCUGCUCGUGCUCCCAUGGGAUUGAUGCAGCGGCGUUCGGUUUUUGAUCGGAUUUCCUUCCCCCUUCGCUCUGUCAGUGAUCAUGAAGCUGUUGUUCGUCCGCAUUUUCAAAAUUAUUCAAAUCGCAGAAUUGGCCGCAUGGUUCGCUCAGGAUUUCGGUCAUCUUUGGAGGCCCCUCGCGUUUCCCCAUGGGCCCCGCGGAUGUUGGUUUGGAGGCCCAAGAAGAUUUUGGAACAAUGCCCGGAGAAUUUUGGACAGGAUUCUGUCCCCGGCAUUAAUGGCUCUUCUGUCCCUGCGGCGUCGGGUGACCAACAUUUCCGGG
Molecule: unclassified non-coding RNA, 333 nt
Filed under: Zea mays
Lineage: Eukaryota; Viridiplantae; Streptophyta; Magnoliopsida; Poales; Poaceae
Description: misc RNA Zm00001eb308900
Source: RNAcentral